AUUGACGUCAAAUGUCUACAUCAAUAUUGCAUGAUAUACAGAUAAGCUUUGAAGAUAUUUUCCGUACGCAAUGUAUACCAAAAACUAUAGAUCAUAGGUUGAAUUGAUGACUUACUUCUUCGUUUACUGGAACAUGAAAACGGCAAAAAUGCUGCUGCUGUAAUCAUAAUUCAGACACACACAACCAAUACGAACAGGUUGUUUUUCUUCGUUAUUCUUCGUAAUAUUCGCCUGUAGCCUAUAUCAUUAGGCUAUACUGUCAUCAGUGAUUAUCCCAGCGCGUUUACGUUGAUAUUGUUUUUAAUUUUGAUUUGGGGUUUUUCACGAGCGGCAAUAAGAAGUUUGCACUCUGUCGUUAUCAAGGGCAUCUUCUAAAGGCUAGUUGUUUGUUAUUAGCAUUUUUAUGGGCUCCUAUACAUUAAAAAGAUGACAUUUAUUGAGUGAGUCACAAGUUGCUGCUUAUAUUCCACCCGUAUCCAGCCAAAACUGUCUGAUUCGGACUGUCGCGCCAAGUGAAUUUACGUCGACAAAAGAGCAUCAAGCCGGUAAAGUGCAGUGUGUCACCGCACAACCAAGAUGUUGAAUCACUGGCUAACGUUAAAGAAGCCAAAGAUUCUUGAAUUAAAAGGAUACAAGUGACGGUCGGCAGCACAUGGUUCUACGUCGAUGAUAUACACCGAAUCAAACGUAACGAUGAUGUUGUUAUGUGUGUGAAUAUAACGGUGUGUACUCUACGUUGGUAUGGAUUCAGCCUAUUGCGGCCUGCAGGACUAUAAGAGAUCCGGGAAACGAUGGGGGAAAAUGCAGCAAGGCAGCUGGUUUUUCCCAACAACAGUGCUGAAAUCCCAUCCCACGCUGGCGGCAGGCUCGGUCCUUUUUUCAUUUAUUUUUCUAUUUUAUUUAUAAAUACACGUACUGCAUAUCCAUUGCUUAUUUUUAUUUUCAAACAUUUUUUGUUUUCUUUUGUUUUCUUUUGUUUUGUUGUGUUUGUGUUUUUGUUUUUGUUUUUGUUUUUGUUUUUUUUUUUUUGUUUUUUUUUUUUUUUUUGUUUUUGUUUUUUGGAAUUUGUUUCCAUCCCAAAUAGUCUACGUUUGAAGAUCGUGCUUUCUUUUCGUUUCCAGACGAUGGGCUUUUCUUUUAUUUGCCGAUUGAUAUUUGGCUUCGGAGAAGUAAUAUAAAGUGAAACGUUCGAUGGCAAGCCUGUUUCAUUCACUCAUUUUUUUAUUCGGCUUUCCAAGAACAGAACUUUUCUUUUCUUCUCCCAUCCGUAUCCAUCUUAUCCCAGCCGUUUUAUUUUAUUUUUAUUUUAUAUUUUAUAUAUAUAUAUU
Molecule: long non-coding RNA, 1328 nt
Organism: Daphnia magna
Lineage: Eukaryota; Metazoa; Arthropoda; Branchiopoda; Diplostraca; Daphniidae
Exons: 3
Source: RefSeq, a predicted model, not a curated record